This 407-nucleotide ribosomal RNA is filed under the name uncultured bacterium. RNAcentral describes it as "bacterial SSU rRNA". It matches the Rfam family "Bacterial small subunit ribosomal RNA", at positions 354 to 775 of the family's 1533-position model. The record is from RNAcentral.
AUUAGGAAUCUUGCACAAUGGGGGAAACCCUGAUGCAGCGACGUCGCGUGGAGGAUGAAAUCUUUCGGGAUGUAAACUCCUUUUCUCAGGGAAGAAAAAAAUGACGGUACCUGAGGAAUAAGCCCCGGCUAACUACGUGCCAGCAGCCGCGGUAAUACGUAGGGGGCGAGCGUUGUCCGAAGUUACUGGUCGUAAAGAGCGCGUAGGCGGGCUCCUAAGUGAGGGGUGAAAGGUUCGGGCUCAACCCGGAGAGUGCCUUUCAUACUGGGAGCCUUGAGUGCGGGAGAGGCAAGUGGAAUGGUCGGUGUAGCGGUGAAAUGCGUAGAUAUCGAUCGGAACACCCGUGGCGAAGGCGGCUUGCUGGCUCGCAACUGACGCUGAGGCGCGAAAGCGUGGGGAGCAAACAG